CAGUCGCCGCGGUAAGACAGAGGGUGCGAGCGUUAAUCGGAUUUACUGGGCGUAAAGCGUGCGUAGGCGGCUUUUUAAGUCGGAUGUGAAAUCCCUGAGCUUAACUUAGGAAUUGCAUUCGAUACUGGGAAGCUAGAGUAUGGGAGAGGAUGGUAGAAUUCCAGGUGUAGCGGUGAAAUGCGUAGAGAUCUGGAGGAAUACCGAUGGCGAAGGCAGCCAUCUGGCCUAAUACUGACGCUGAGGUACGAAAGCAUGGGGAGCAAACAGGAUUAGAUACCCGAGUAGUCCCUGUCUCUUAUAC
This 301-nucleotide ribosomal RNA is filed under the name uncultured bacterium. Its description in RNAcentral is "partial 16S ribosomal RNA". It matches the Rfam family "Bacterial small subunit ribosomal RNA", at positions 509 to 807 of the family's 1533-position model. The record is from RNAcentral.